GACGGAGGGGGCUAGCGUUGUUCGGAAUUACUGGGCGUAAAGAGUGCGUAGGCGGUUUAGUAAGUUGGAAGUGAAAGCCCGAGGCUUAACCUCGGAACUGCUUUCAAAACUACUAAUCUAGAGUGUAGUAGGGGAUGAUGGAAUUCCUAGUGUAGAGGUGAAAUUCUUAGAUAUUAGGAGGAACACCGGUGGCGAAGGCGGUCAUCUAGGCUACAACUGACGCUGAUGCACGAAAGCGUGGGGAGCAAACAGG
Molecule: ribosomal RNA, 253 nt
Filed under: uncultured bacterium
Lineage: Bacteria
Description: partial 16S ribosomal RNA
Rfam family: Bacterial small subunit ribosomal RNA
Source: RNAcentral